AUGCAGCCGGUGCCAGUGCGGUCUGGGAAGGAGGAGGCCGCCCUGAACCCGGCGAGCUGCUCCUUGCGGAGUGCGCCGCCUCCCUCUGUCCUGCCUUCCUCCUUCCCUCCUUCCUUCUGUCCUUCCUGCCCUGCUUCCUCCUUUCCUUCAUUCCCUCUGUCCCUCUUCCUCCUUCCCUCCUUUCUCCAUCCCUUCUUCCCUCCUUUCCUCCUUCCUCCUCCCUUUCUUCCCUCCUUUCCUCCUUCCUCCUCCCCUCCAUCCCUCCUCCCUCUGUCCCUCCUUCCCCCCUUUCCUCCAUCCCUCCUUCCUUCUUCCCUCCAUCCCUCCUCCCUCCAUCCCUCCUUCCCCUGUCCCUCCUUUUCCCCUUCCUCCAUCCUUCUUCCCCCCUUUCCUCCUUUCCCCCUUCCUCCCUCCCUUAMUUCCCUCCUUCCCCCUUCCUCUGUCCAUCCCUCCUUCCCUCCGUCCCUCCUUCCCCCUUUCCUUCAUUCCCUCUGUCCCUCUUCCUUCCUUCCCUCUCUCCUCCAUCCCUCCUUCUCUCCUUCCCUCCAUCCCUUCUCCCUCUGUCCCUCCUUCCUCCCUCCUUCCUCCUUUUUCCUUCCCUCCUUCCCUCCCUCUCCUGCGGGAAGAGGAGGAGGCGGCUGCAGAUGGGCAGGAGCCGCGGAGGCCGAGAGCCGAGCGACAGGGCCGGGCAAUAAAGCACCGAAACUCCCCGGGUUUCGGCUGCAUUCGCAGAACAGGUUUGGCGGCCGCUUCGCCGGGGCCGCUGUGGGCGAGGGCCCCCGCGGGGCRGCCUGGAGCCCCAAACCCGCCCCAAAACCGGGGCCGGGAGACCGUGGAGCGACGUUGUGGCAGGGGUUUGGGUGGGUUUUGGAGCAGUGUAGGGUGCUGCAGCCCGGCCCGCGGCGAGGACGAGCCCGGCCCCGGGGUCGCUCCUGGCCCAGUCUCUGCCGGCUCAUCCUGCUCCGGUUACGUGGCCCCGAGCUGCUCCGUGGUGAUGGGGAGCUGACUCAGCCGUGA
This 1017-nucleotide long non-coding RNA is filed under the name Apteryx haastii (Great spotted kiwi). RNAcentral describes it as "lncRNA (ENSAHAG00000016672.1)". The record is from RNAcentral. Lineage: Eukaryota; Metazoa; Chordata; Aves; Apterygiformes; Apterygidae.